UACAGAGGGGGCAAGCGUUGUUCGGAAUUACUGGGCGUAAAGGGCGCGUAGGCGGCCCGCUAAGUCGAACGUGAAAUCCCCGAGCUCAACUCGGGAACUGCGUCCGAUACUGUCGGGCUAGAGUCCGGAAGAGGCGAGUGGAAUUCCUGGUGUAGCGGUGGAAUGCGCAGAUAUCAGGAGGAACACCGAUAGCGAAGGCAGCUCGCUGGGACGGUACUGACGCUGAGGCGCGAAAGCGUGGGGAGCGAACAGG
RNAcentral lists this ribosomal RNA (253 nucleotides) under uncultured bacterium. Its description in RNAcentral is "partial 16S ribosomal RNA". It matches the Rfam family "Bacterial small subunit ribosomal RNA", at positions 524 to 776 of the family's 1533-position model. The record is from RNAcentral.